AUAGAUCCUGAAACCGCAUGCUUACAAAAAGUAGGAGCCUCGAAAGGGGUGACUGCGUACCUUUUGUAUAAUGGGUCAGCGACUUACAUUCAGUGGCAAGGUUAACCGAAUAGGGAAGCCGUAGAGAAAUCGAGUCCGAAUAGGGCGAUCAGUCGCUGGGUGUAGACCCGAAACCAAGUGAUCUAUCCAUGGGCAGGAUGAAGGUGCCGUAACAGGUACUGGAGGUCCGAACCGACUAAUGUUGCAAAAUUAGCGGAUGACCUGUGGAUAGGGGUGAAAGGCUAAACAAACUUGGAAAUAGCUGGUUCUCUCCGAAAACUAUUUAGGUAGUGCCUCAAGUAUUACCAUCGGGGGUAGAGCACUGUUUUGGCUAGGGGGUCAUGGCGACUUACCAAACCAAGGCAAACUCCGAAUACCGAUGAGUACAGCUUGGGAGACAGAGCACCGGGUGCUAACGUCCGGACUCAAGAGGGAAACAACCCAGACCGCCAGCUAAGGUCCCUAAAAUUGGCUAAGUGGGAAACGAAGUGGGAAGGCUAAAACAGUCAGGAUGUUGGCUUAGAAGCAGCCAUCAUUUAAAGAAAGCGUAAUAGCUCACUGAUCGAGUCGUCCUGCGCGGAAGAUGUAACGGGGCUAAGCCAGUUACCGAAGCUGCGGAUUUGCAAUUUAUUGCAAGUGGUAGGAGAGCGUUCUGUAGGCCUGUGAAGGUGGUGGUGUAAACCCUGCUGGAGGUAUCAGAAGUGCGAAUGCUGACAUGAGUAGCGUUAAAGGGGGUGAAAAGCCCCCUCGCCGUAAGCGCAAGGUUUUCUACGCAACGUUCAUCGGCGUAGAGUGAGUCGGCCCCUAAGGCGAGGCAGAGAUGCGUAGCUGAUGGGAAACAGGUCAAUAUUCCUGUACCGAUUACAAGUGCGAUGUGGGGACGGAGAAGGUUAGCUCAGCCAACUGUUGGAUAUGUUGGUUCAAGCCUGUAGUCGUGCCUGGUAGGCAAAUCCGCCGGGCUUAGAUGAGGGGUGAUAACGAGUGUGCUUGCACACGAAGUGAGUGAUACCCUGCUUCCAGGAAAAGCCACUAAGCUUCAGCUUGUAAUUGACCGUACCGCAAACCGACACUGGUGCGCGAGAUGAGUAUUCUAAGGCGCUUGAGAGAACUCAGGAGAAGGAACUCGGCAAAUUGAUACCGUAACUUCGGGAGAAGGUAUGCCCCUAUUAGGUGAACUUGAACAAAGGGAGCCGAACGGGGUUGCAAAAAAUCGGUGGCUGCGACUGUUUAAUAAAAACACAGCACUCUGCAAACACGAAAGUGGACGUAUAGGGUGUGACGCCUGCCCGGUGCUGGAAGAUUAAAUGAUGGGGUGCAAGCUCUUGAUUGAAGUCCCAGUAAACGGCGGCCGUAACUAUAACGGUCCUAAGGUAGCGAAAUUCCUUGUCGGGUAAGUUCCGACCUGCACGAAUGGCGUAACGAUGGCCACACUGUCUCCUCCUGAGACUCAGCGAAGUUGAAAUGUUUGUGAUGAUGCAAUCUCCCCGCGGAAAGACGGAAAGACCCCAUGAACCUUUACUGUAGCUUUGUAUUGGACUUUGAACAGAUCUGUGUAGGAUAGGUGGGAGGCUUUGAAGCCGGGACGCUAGUCUCGGUGGAGCCGACGUUGAAAUACCACCCUGGUGUGUUUGAGGUUCUAACCUAGGUCCAUUAUCUGGAUCGGGGACAGUGCAUGGUAGGCAGUUUGACUGGGGCGGUCUCCUCCCAAAGCGUAACGGAGGAGUUCGAAGGUACGCUAGUUACGGUCGGACAUCGUGAUAAUAGUGCAAUGGCAUAAGCGUGCUUAACUGCGAGACUGACAAGUCGAGCAGAUACGAAAGUAGGACAUAGUGAUCCGGUGGUUCUGUAUGGAAGGGCCAUCGCUCAACGGAUAAAAGGUACUCUGGGGAUAACAGGCUGAUACCGCCCAAGAGUUCAUAUCGACGGCGGUGUUUGGCACCUCGAUGUCGGCUCAUCUCAUCCUGGGGCUGUAGCCGGUCCCAAGGGUAUGGCUGUUCGCCAUUUAAAGAGGUACGUGAGCUGGGUUUAAAACGUCGUGAGACAGUUUGGUCCCUAUCUUCCGUGGGCGCUG
This 2110-nucleotide ribosomal RNA is filed under the name Limnohabitans sp. 2KL-1. RNAcentral describes it as "bacterial LSU rRNA". It matches the Rfam family "Bacterial large subunit ribosomal RNA", at positions 543 to 2656 of the family's 2925-position model. The record is from RNAcentral. Lineage: Bacteria; Pseudomonadati; Pseudomonadota; Betaproteobacteria; Burkholderiales; Comamonadaceae.